AGCAGUAGCCGCGGGAAUACGAAGGGGGCUAGCGUUGUUCGGAUUUACUGGGCGUAAAGCGCACGUAGGCGGAUCGAUCAGUCAGGGGUGAAAUCCCAGAGCUCAACUCUGGAACUGCCUUUGAUACUAUCGAUCUGGAGUAUGGAAGAGGUGAGUGGAAUUCCGAGUGUAGAGGUGAAAUUCGUAGAUAUUCGGAGGAACACCAGUGGCAAAGGCGGCUCACUGGUCCAUUACUGACGCUGAGGUGCGAAAGCGUGGGGAGCAAACAGGAUUAGAUACCCCCGUAGUCCCUGUCUCUUAUAC
RNAcentral lists this ribosomal RNA (303 nucleotides) under uncultured bacterium. RNAcentral describes it as "partial 16S ribosomal RNA". It matches the Rfam family "Bacterial small subunit ribosomal RNA", at positions 507 to 807 of the family's 1533-position model. The record is from RNAcentral.